AUGCAAAGCAACCAGUGGCAGCAAACAGCAAACAACAUCAGCAGCCAGAAACAUGCAGAGGCGAUUUCUCACCAUGUUGUUAGUGGCAAGGUCGGACGGAGCAGAGCAACGAGCUCGGACAGCGACAAUGACGGUCAACGUCAGGGAAGAAGUAGGAGGGACCCGCGGCUUCGAGUCCAUGGUCCAGAGGAGAUGCGGAUAACACGGAGCCCGUCACGGUCCCUGGAGUUGUUUGGUGAGGAGGAUAACCGCGGCGCCGCAGUGGCGGCCGACGGAACCGACGAAGAUGGCCUCGGUCCAAGAGGCUGCUGCACGUCGGUGCCCGGAAUCACCAUUAAAGGAACAGCAGGAGUAACAAUGGAGCUAGGGGAACUACCUAGGAGCAAGAACGCACCGGAAAACAAGGUGGUUCACGGCGGCGUCCAGCGGGCGUGCAUGUCAGAGCCGGAGGCAUGGACGUCGAUCCGAACUGAGGGCUAG
This 480-nucleotide ribosomal RNA is filed under the name Triticum aestivum (bread wheat). RNAcentral's name for it is "partial small subunit ribosomal RNA". The record is from RNAcentral. Lineage: Eukaryota; Viridiplantae; Streptophyta; Magnoliopsida; Poales; Poaceae.